This 584-nucleotide ribosomal RNA is filed under the name uncultured bacterium. RNAcentral describes it as "partial 16S ribosomal RNA". It matches the Rfam family "Bacterial small subunit ribosomal RNA", at positions 355 to 935 of the family's 1533-position model. The record is from RNAcentral.
UGGGGAAUUUUGGACAAUGGGCGAAAGCCUGAUCCAGCAAUGCCGCGUGUGUGAAGAAGGCCUUCGGGUUGUAAAGCACUUUUGUCCGGAAAGAAAUCCUUGGCUCUAAUACAGUCGGGGGAUGACGGUACCGGAAGAAUAAGCACCGGCUAACUACGUGCCAGCAGCCGCGGUAAUACGUAGGGUGCAAGCGUUAAUCGGAAUUACUGGGCGUAAAGCGUGCGCAGGCGGUUUGCUAAGACCGAUGUGAAAUCCCCGGGCUCAACCUGGGAACUGCAUUGGUGACUGGCAGGCUAGAGUAUGGCAGAGGGGGGUAGAAUUCCACGUGUAGCAGUGAAAUGCGUAGAGAUGUGGAGGAAUACCGAUGGCGAAGGCAGCCCCCUGGGCCAAUACUGACGCUCAUGCACGAAAGCGUGGGGAGCAAAACAGGAUUAGAUACCCUGGUAGUCCACGCCCUAAAACGAUGUCAACUAGUUGUUGGGGAUUCAUUUCCUUAGUAACGUAGCUAACGCGUGAAGUUGACCGCCUGGGGAGUACGGUCGCAAGAUUAAAACUCAAAUGAAUUGACGGGGUCAUAGCUGUUC